UAUUCUUUAUUGUUUCCUGGAUUUCCAGUUCAUCAAUUUCUGCUCCCAUCAUUUGUAUUUACUUCCAUCAGUUUGUUCGUUUUUUCCUUCUGACUGACUUCAACUUUUUGGCAAUCCUAUCUACUCUUCAGGCCUUGUAGUUAACUUGCCUCCUCCAGAAGCACCAUUGAGAAGCCCUAAUCCUUGGAGAAAGGACAAAUAUCCAAAUGUUUUACAGAAGGACUCUACAGACCAGAUACAAGUUCUAGGAAAGCUCACUUCGGAAAACCAGGAAGGUGACAGGCUUGGCUCUGCCAGUCCUCUCUACCAGAUCCUUAUCAAGAUAACACUUGACUGCAAAUGGUUUUAUAAAGUAAAUCUCCUCGAAAGCCAAUUAUUUUCCUCAGAAGCUGGGAGAGAGGAGACCGUUCAUGCAGCACCUGCAUUCUAACCACCCAGGGGAGCAAACUCUCUGAUGGUGUUUGCCCUGUAAAUAUAACAAUUAGGGCAAUAAAUGUAGUUUUGUAGUUACUCACUCAUCAGACAUCUUGCCAUCUUCUUUUGUGUGUGGAAGACAGUAGAGUUCCAUCCAAUGUGGCUCAAAAUGUCCCAUCUCCCUGAAGCCCUAGACCUCUUGCAAGUUACUUUGCCCCUUGAUACCUAGAUUGUCCAUCUUUAAAAUGUUGGAAAUAAUGGUUCCUUCCUACCUCACUGUAUUUCUUUCAGGCUCUCCUGAGAUAAUGCAUGUAAAGAAUGAAUGCCAGGCAUAUAUAAAGUGCACAGUAAAAACUGGUGAUUAAUGAAAAAAAAUGAAAAUAAAACAUAUAAUUUCCUUGAACUUAGCUCCCAAAAUUCAAAUAGUCAUGCAGUGCUUCCAGUUUUGCUUUAGGUAUUUCUAAUUCUAUCCCCUUUAUUGCAUCCUCUCAAUUACUGUGUUUGUUUAGACCCUCAGCCUCUCACCUGAAGUACUCUGAAGUCCUAACAGAUCUCCCUACCUCAAGUCUUGGGGUGUCGCCUCCUCUAAAUUCACUCACCACACUGCAUGCAUAGAGGUAUGUGUCUAAAAGUCUGUUAUGACCAGUCAUACCUCUGCCUUGAAGCCCAAAGUCUCCCCAAAUCUAUAAGAUCAGACUUUCCUAGUAAAGCAUUCAAAACUGUACAGAAUUCUUGGGUGCCUGUACUUAGUGCCUUGUACUUAGUGUCUUGCAACACCCUUCCUUUUUUUUAAACACUGAGUAACUCAAUCCUCCUAACACUGCAUGAAUUCUGAGGCUACUUAUAAGACGCUUUGCAGAUUCAUCUGGAUCUUUUGAGAUACUCACUCACUGGUAGUAUCCAGCCAGGCUCCAUACUGUGAGGACAUGGACAGAUGAAUUAUAGAAAAAUCAAGUUAACAGUCCUAGCUGACCUCCUAGAUACUGACCAAGAUCAACCGCCAGCCAUGAGCCAUCUUGGAUAACCAGUCCUGUUGAGCCUGAAGGUGAUUCCACUCCUGGCCAUCAUCCGACUGCAAUCACAUAAGAGACCCACCCCAAAGAGGACUUCCCAGGUUCACUUCUUUCUACCCUGCUACAAACCCAGGGGAUUCCAUCAGGGGGUUCCAUUGACACCUGACUUCCCACUGGUUCAGACAAUGGAAGGCUCUAGCAAGAGGGGCAGCAGAUCAGAAUCACCUGAGGAGCUCCUUGAUGACCGGGACUUGGCACCGCCCAGAGCAGGGCUGUGGGGAGUGAGGUGAGGCCUGGUGGUCCAGGACGUGGUGGAGAAGAGAGACGGAGGCCGAGUUGCUGGGUGCAGCUGAACCUUCCCAAAGCUAUUCCACCUCCCCAUUCAUGACUUGACCGGGGCUAAAGAACACCUAAGCUAAUUAACUCCUGGUGAGUCGCCGGAUGGUGCAGCUGGAGAUGCAGUUUGGGGAGCCUGGCUUUAGGACUCCCUUCUGAGGCACAGCGUCGGUAGGUGACCGUGGGUUCAGGAGCCAGAGGAGUGUGGAGUCACAUGGCUCAGCUUCCUGCCUCUCAUCCCCACCCCCUCAUAAUAACCCUGGAAAGCCCAUUUCUGGGCGGUGGCUGGGCUGGCGCAAGCUGAGUUGAACGGAAUCUGGAGGAGGGAGAGAAGGUGAGGGUUUAUCUCCAAGAAGUCAAAAUCUGUUGUCAAUUCCAAGGGGCCAAGAAACAAGAGGCAAAACAACAGGGUCCGAGCAAGGGAAAACACAAGCAGUUGAUGUGGGAAUGAAGAAAGAUAGGGACUUGUUCUCAGUAGUGAAGGCAAGCCUAAAGCUCGGUUUGUGUUCUCUAGGGAGUGGAUGGGGAACAGCUGUUGGCCCUGGAGAGAUUGGAUGCGCACGUCUCGUGCAGAAGUUCAGCGUUAGGACAACUGCAGCUGACUGCAUCUUGGCUGAAAACCCACUUCUGCUUCUGCAGGCCCCACUAAGUAUGGCCUGAUAGAAAGCCCUGGACCCCCGCGGGGAAAGAAGUGGGGAGCAAGGGAAGAGGUAACCCUGAGGACCAGCCUCUGCCAUCAACUUGUCUUACUCCCAACAGAACACCUGUGGCUACCCUGAUAUUUUAUUUAUAUUUGUUCACUGUGUCUUCCUCACACUGUCAGGUUACCUUCAUCAAAAAGGAAUUGUGAGUCUUUCCCACUGUGUUCUCUUAACAAAAGUCAGAUAAAUGGUUUGAUGCCUCGUACGUUCAGAGCAGACGCUGCUUUACCACAGUCUGAGUUCGGGGUACUUUCCUCUGACAAAAAGCAGCUUACAAAAUGGACACAUGAGGCUCUUCCUUAGGAUUUUAGGCUGCUUUCUUCUCUUUGGCUCCGUACAUAUUAAUUAAUGGUUUUUGUAAGGAUCCAAGAGACCCUCUGGUGAUGACCUUUUUCCCUAGAUAACAAUGAGCUAGUGGAAGUGUUUUUUCCUGAGAGUCUGUGGAACAAGGGCCGUGAUGACACCCACAUCCUCACUCCCUUCACAGGGUGAAUGUCUACCCUGCUGAGAGGCCCCAAGCAUGGUGGGUCUGAGUGCAGACUGGUAGUCUCGGGACAGGCUCUGCUUCUUACGGCGUGACCCUGACCCCCGCCUCCAGUUCUCUCACCUGGAACACAGGAUGAUAACAACCAACUAUACCUACUUCUAGGACGGGUUCUGGAGACGACGUAAUUUAGUCUGUGUGAGGUGCUGUACCCCAGAAAGCACUGUGCAUGCACUCACCCUCAUCAUUAUUAGUGUGGGAGCAGCCGACAUACAGGCUGUCUCAUCAAAGUCAUUAUGGUACUUGUGACUCCUGGGUAUUGAAAAGAUUUUCAUGACGCCCUACAUGGUCAUUAAUGCACAUUUGUUUCAGAGCUUCUAUGUCACUGAGUGAAAAAUGGUGGAGCAGGACAACUUUGGAGCUGCUCUCACCAGGAAAGCUAUUUAAUGGCAUUACCUUAAAAAACUCAUGGUGCUGCUUUUGCUUACUAGAGGAAACCCUCUUCCAGUUACUACCCUACCUUAAGGACCCUUGUUCACACCCUUGUACAACACCCCUCCCCACACACCCUUGAAUGUGGAUGGGACAUGAGACUUGCUUGUAGCCGGUAGAAUAUAGCAAAAGUGAAGGAAUUUUGCAGAUGUAAUUAAGCUCCCAAAUAAGUUGACUUGAGUUCAUCAAAAAGGAGAGCACCGGCGUGGGCCUGAAUCAAUCAGGGGAAGACCCCUAAAAGAGACACUGAAGCCCUCCCUCAGGUGAGAGACUCAUUACAAGACUCUGGCCUUGAAGGCUACGAGUUCUCUAGCUGCAAAGAAAUAAAUUCUGCCGUCCCUCAUUCCAGGCUAAGGAAGUGUAGACGUGGUUCUUGCUCUGGUUGAGUGAGCCUCUGAUGAGAACGUAGCACAGCUGAUUACCGUCCUGUGCGACUCUGGGCAGAGGACGCAGCUUAGUCAUGCCCAAACUCCUGAUCCCUGGAAACUGUGAGAUAAUAAGUGUGUGCUGUGUUAAGCCCCUACACUUGAAGAAAUUUGUUAGGCACCAAUAGAAACUAGCACAGCUUCAAUUAGGAAAUGACUCUUUUCUCCCCCUACAGUGGCCUGCAUCCUUCUUUUUGUUACACAGAGAGAUCAUACCCAGACAAGAGCACAGCUAUGGGAGAAAAUACUGAGAGAGAGCUGUAUUGUCAAGCAAGACAAAAACUAUUAAGUUAAAAAAGCAGAACAGGAAGUCAGUGUGCUGAGGAUUGUACUGUAGUAAGAGACCACUGUGGUACU
This is a long non-coding RNA of Ailuropoda melanoleuca (giant panda), 4222 nucleotides long. RefSeq lists it as uncharacterized. Lineage: Eukaryota; Metazoa; Chordata; Mammalia; Carnivora; Ursidae. The record is from RefSeq and is a predicted model, not a curated record. The transcript is spliced from 4 exons.